AGUUCGUCAUUACGCGAUACACAGAUUCAUCAUCCACAGUAUGUAGAUGAAUACCUGAAAGGAAUACGGCCCGGAUAAAUUAUUGAAUGAGAGAUUGAGACAACUUAGAAAGUCCAAGCUGGAUAUGCUAGGAGGGAUUCUACCCGAAAUCUUGUUGUUGGAUAGGGCAAGGGAUUCUAAAUUUUUUGUCACCAAUGUUUGAAGGUGUUGGAUGUUUUUGCGGAAGCGUGUGUGUGCAAGUGUGUAUGUGUGAAAUAUGGGCUACAAAGGCAAGGGUGUAUGGGUUAAAAAAAGAGAGCUUUUAUUAUGAAAUGUUUUAUAACAAAGGAAGGGUUUUGGAAGGAGUGUGUGUAGUUUUUUCUACAACUCAAAACACACACCCCAACCCCUAUUUAUAGGCGUGUCACCGCCAUUCUCCACCGAUAUUAGUACAAAAAAUAAUAUAAAAUUGUAGCUAGGAUCUUUGUCUCGGCUUCUCUCGAUUCUUGGAGUUACUUCUCCCUUAUUCUCCAUUUUUCUAUUCUUUGCAACUCCCAGCCACUUUUGUUGACUUUUCAACCAACUUCCAAGUGGCUUUCUUCCUUUAUAAUUAUACUUGCUGCCCACAUAGUUCCAGAAAAUUCUCCAACACAUGAGAGACUUCUUUUACUUGUACAAAUUGUUGCUGCCGACUUUGCUCCUUCUCCAUUAAGCAUGAGUAGUCUAGUGAGUUCUAGAGUUUUCACAAAAUGGAUCAUAUUUUAACAGAAGGGAUUUUCCCACUCAAAUUGUUUCGAGAGAGGUUCAAAUUCUGAAGUUCGACAAGCCUAGUCAACUCUUCUGAUAUUUCGCCAUUUAAAUUGUUUGCAGAAAGGUCAAUGGAAUGGAAGAAUCAGAGUGUCUUGUCAUAUAUUCGGCUAGUUCCCUUUGUAUUAACCAUGACUUUAAUCGAUGGUGAAUACAUCCAAUACGACUGAUAAUUGAUAUCUCCAACCAUGGACAAUAAUCCAUUAAAACACGACGGAAUGCUUCCGGAAAUGUUGUUCUGUGCUAGGCUUAAAAACUGGAGAUAAUUAAGUUGGCAGAGUUGCGAGGGAAUGCCUCCAGUGAAACUAUUCUUCUCAAGAUCGAUCACGACUAAUGAUCGAGAAUGUCGUCCAAAUGAAGGAAUUUCACCAGUGAAGUUAUUAUCACUUAGAUCAAGGAGGCGAAGGUUAGUUAGGUUGGACAAACAUUUGGGAAGCACUUGGUCGAAGCCAUUUUUAUGCAAGAUCAGAACUUCUAAUUGCUUCGUAUGGCAUAAAGAAUUAGUGAUCUGACCACUUAACCUGUUGUCACCCAGAAGAAUCUAUUCCAGUGCUUCCAACUUUUUCAGACAUAAGGGUAGUCUCCCAGAUAGUUGGUUCUUUGACAGAUCAAGACAAACCAGGUUCUUCAUUGCACAUAGCGAAUUUGGCAUGCUGCCACUGAGACCGUUACCAGAAAGACUCAGAAUUUGUAACAGUUGCAUCUUGUUUCCGUCCAAUCUGGAAAUGGGGCCUCUGAGCCUAUUGUUAUCGAGAGCCAGAUCUAUAACGUUAAGUGAAAUGUCGGAAAGCCAAUUGGGAAUUUCAUCUGAGAUGUUUGCAUUGGACAUGUACAAGUAUGAAAUAUUCCUCUGUGUUUAAAGCCACAGUGGAAAUUUCGGUCCCAGAUCACAACCUGACGUGUCAAUCCAUGGAACUCAGAAUGGAGGAACCCAGGCGGGAUCAAAACUUAAAACAAGUUCAUUAGACAAAUAAAUUCGGUCAGGCUCGUGAGAUUAGCAAAGUGCGAUUCACUAACAACUCCAUUCAAAGAAUUAUUUGUUAUGUCCAAUGUCUCUAGACUAGAUAGUCGCUCAAUUUGUUGUGGCUGAGAUCCUACUCUGUUAGAGAUGAUAGCUCCCCCAAAGUUACUGGAAUAGGUCUGCAAAUCGAGUUUUGUGACAGACUUAGGUACUCGAGAUCUUUGAAACUCUCCAAUUGGCUUGGUAGAAAACCACUGAAAUUAUUGGCAGUGAAAUCACAAAUCCUCAAGUUACUUUGUGCCGACUCCAAAGGACCAUGGAUGAUGUUCCCAACAUCUCCAUCAAAGUUAUUAAACGCCAACCUUAAUUCACGCAACUUGUAGAGACUGCUGAAGUUUUUCAGAAUUUGACCGCCUAGCAAAAUACGAGACACAUUGAGAAAGGAAACUUGUUGAUUAUUAUCAAAGAGUGUCCUGGGAAAUGUGCCUUUCAAAUUAUUUACUCUCAAAUCGAUAUGCUCGAGCUUGCUAAAGUUGUAGAACGAGGGAGGAAUAGUAGAAUUUAUUAAAUUCCAUGAUAGAUCUAGGAAUCUUAAAGAAGCGAAGGUGACGGAUAGAGAGUGAGGAAGUUUUUCGAGAGAACAACCCCUCAACUGCAAAGAUUGCACUGAAGAAAGCAUAUAAAUGGAACUAAACCAAUCUGUGGCAUUCAUAAGGCCAAUGCCAGAGAGGCGAAGGUAUUUUCAAGGAAGAUAAUUUCGACACCCAUUGGAGGUUAUCAGUUGUUAAAUAACCCCCGCCAAACCUACUAGCAAGAUCAAGAUACUGCAAGUUGGACAGGUUACCGAGGUGAUGUGGUAUGUUUCCGCCAAAACCUGCAGAUGAUAGAUUAAGAUACUCUAGUCUGGAGAGUACCAAAGAAUUGGGGGAUAUUUUGCUUGGAAAAUUUGUUGAGGCUGAGGUCUAGAUACUUCAAAUGCUUCAGUUCAGCCAAAGAUGCAUGGAUUUUACCUGCCAAAUUGCUCUUAGACAUGAGAUAUAUCUGUCGGGAGAGGUCUCAAAGCAUGGAUUGCGAAGAUCGAGUUUGAAAACAUGGCCAGUCUUUUUGCUGCAUUCAACUCCUUUCCACUCACAACAGUCCUUGCCAGUCCAUGAUGACAAGCGUUUAGAAUGGUCGACGAGAACUUGCCUGAAUUUCAAGAGAGCUUCUCUCUCUGUACCAAAGCAGCUCACAUUGGUGAAAGCUUUGGAAUGGCCAAACUCAAAUGAUUGAAACACAAGAAGAGUCCACAAUAUGAGGGGUACAAAGGCGGGGGCUGAUGCCAUUGCUUUCGAUAAUAUGGGAUUAGGAAAUGCAGUGUACUUCCUCCGUUUUAUGGUGACAUGGGUCUUGGGAAGGUCUUGAUUGAUUUUCAUCAAGAAAAGGACAUUAAUUAUUUCCUAUGGAUUUUGAUUUGGCCAUCACUGUCGAUCAAUGCUGUUACAUCCCAAAUCUUAACGGGAAAAUGGGAUGAAAUGGCUGUCAUUCCACCCAAAGGACGCAGCUUCUAACCACCCAAAUAUCAACUCCCAAAAGUCUCUAUCAAUAUUGCUCUCGCUCUAUUGUCUACUAACCGAUGAAUCUAAAAAUAUUAGGAAGGAAUGAGAUGAGCAACUAUAGCUCAGUGAAUAGUACAUAUCUUUUAUAAAUAGAUCGAGUAGCAACUAUGCAUUAAUGUAAGUAUAGAGCACUACUAAAAACUUAUAAUCCAACUCUUUAAUAUACAUGUAAAAUCACAUACGAGUCAUUUCACUCAACAAGCUUUACUACAAUUCAGAAAAUACUUAUUUAAAUCAUCAUAACCAUCAAUAGUCAAAUCCAUUGAUCAAUCUCAUUAAAGUCAUAUGCUAAUGGUCUACUAUAUUGAUCCAUUUCAUAUCAAAACAAACGUUGAUGGUCAAUUUAUCGAUCAAUCUUUUGUUUAAUAUCAAACUAUGGUCACAACACCACACCUUAUGACAAGGUGACCAAGAUUCCCCCUUGUAUUUACAAAGCCGAUAGCUUGAGCCAAAAGGGUAUCCUAAUCUAGUAUGUAUACUCACAAGCCCAUCAAUGGGAUCACGAUGAUAUUGAGCACUAAACCAACAUCCUCCAAUACCAACAAUUAAAUCCACAAUCAAUAUCAGCAAUUGAUUUCACAAAACAAAAUGCAUAAUCUUUCUAAACUUGGUUCAUCAAACAGAACACAUUUCACGUGACAUUUCUCUCAUCAUCUCAAAAUUCUUCAUAAACCAAAUUCACAAAUCGAUAUGUAUAACUUUUCAAAAUUUCUCUCAUAAAAAGUUUCUCAAAACAUCUUUCAUGAAACGUUUCUUAAAUCGUUAUACAACUCAUUUCAUAAACUAAUUUUACAAAUCAUAUACAACGUUUCACAAUGCCUUUACUAAAACAUUUCUCAAACCAUUUACAAUUACCAAAAAUUAGUAAAUGGCCGAUCCAGAUUUUAUGCAACAAACAUACUUAUUAAUAACUCAUAAUAUAUCAAAUCUUCAUUGCUUUUCAAAUGUGAGUUUACAAAAUCAUAGAAAAGAUAGUACUACUUACCUCUAAAUGCCUACGGCCAAACAACAAAUGUUACUCGGAUUGUCAAACUCGUGAAUCUAUCAAAUAAUCAAGAAACGAUGUUAAAAUUGACUAAAACGCUACCUCAACUACAAAAUGGUUAAACUAUGCAUAAAUGCUAACAAACGAUUCAUACACACUAAGAUUGUGCACCCAAAACGAUUAUUCAAGCCAUUUGCAAAGGAAAACUUGGACAUGAAAUCCUAAAAUUUCGCUCUAACUAAACCGUUGCUUGAAAUCAAUUUUAGCUUCCAUGAAAUCCUAGAGCUCCACGGCUCUAGAAUCAGACUUUGCAGCACAAUUUUCACUAAACUUUGAAUUUGAGCCAUGAUUUUGAAAACUACUCCGAUUAGAUGAAUGAAAUGUGUAGGUACUUACCAAACGCUACGAUAUGAAGUCAAAUCAGCUUGAUGAUGCCCUAGGAUGUGAACACGCAAAGCCCUCUCUCUCCUCUUUCCUUUUCUUCUUCUUUUCAUUUCCUCUUUUUCUUUUCCUUUCCUCUUUCCUUUUCUUUCCGUUUGUGUGAGUCUCGGC
RNAcentral lists this long non-coding RNA (4882 nucleotides) under Eucalyptus grandis. RNAcentral describes it as "long non-coding RNA (EGRA_LNC004367)". Lineage: Eukaryota; Viridiplantae; Streptophyta; Magnoliopsida; Myrtales; Myrtaceae. The record is from RNAcentral.